RNAcentral lists this long non-coding RNA (2774 nucleotides) under Cinara cedri. The record is from RNAcentral. Lineage: Eukaryota; Metazoa; Arthropoda; Insecta; Hemiptera; Aphididae.
CGGUUGAUAAUAAACUGUAGAUUAAAUAAUGUUUGUAUUUGAACUUAUGAUUUAUAUGUCACGGUUAAUUGAUAUGAUUUAUAGAAUAAAUGCAAAUUAACUUUUGGUGCGUACCCACACAUAAAAAUUUAGAAAUGAAAAAAUGCUUAUUCAUCAUUUUUUUUCAUUCAUCUUCUCUGUAGGUAGAUAUAUUUUGGAAGUUAUCCGUAUUCAAUUUUAUGUUAUGAUAAAAUUCUUUUGGAAAAGUAAUAAUAUAUUUAUAUGAAUAAUCGUACAAUAGGCCCAUUCUUUAUUAUUUCUUUUGUAAUAAAUUUAAAUUCUAAUAUUUAUUGUCAAUUUCUUAUUAUCGUAAAAGAAUUCAUUUCUUGAGAUGCUGUGUUAAAAUAAACUAAUUUCAGAAUAAAUUGCUAUUUAAAACAUAUCUGUUUAAAAAACAAGACUAUCGAGAAUGUUUGCAACAUAAUCUACUUGAAGAAUCUAAUUAUGAUUUAAUUCAGAAAUGGUCGUUUGUAGUGUUUGAAAGUUAGGUUAGAGAUCCGAUCUAAAAAUCUUUACACAACUAAAAGUAGAAUUUGAUAGAUAUAUUUCGUCGUAAUAUUUAGGUAAGCCUAGAAUAUUUCCUAACGUUUAAAAAAUUGUUUUAAUAUUCCUAAAUGAUAUAUUGUAUUCACGAAAAUUAACUGUAGGUUUGGUUUAAGAACUUAGAAAUAUAUGAAUGUGUAGAUUUCUGAUUAAUUGUCGAAGGUGUAUAACGAUAUAAUUGUGUUUCUCUACAACGGUAGAAUGAAAAACUCACGGUUGAUAAUAACUCAUAGAUUUUAUUAUUUUUGUAUUUGAUCUUAUGAAUAUAUGUCAGGGUUAAUUGAUAGGAUUUAUAGAAUAAAUGCAAAUUAACUUUUGGUGCGUACCCACACAUAAAAAUUUAGAAAUGAAAAAAUGCUUAUUCAUCAUUUUUUUUCAUUCAUCUUCUCUGUAGGUAGAUAUAUAUUUAGAGUUAUCCGUAUUCAAUUAAUUGUGUUUAUCUAUAACGGUAGAAUGAAAAACUCAUGGUUGAUAAUAAACUGUAGAUUAUAUAAUGUUUGUAUUUGAACUUAUGAUUUAUAUGUCACGGUUAAUUGAUAUGAUUUAUAGAAUAAAUGCAAAUUAACUUUUGGUGCGUACCCACACAUAAAAAUUUAGAAAUGAAAAAAUGCUUAUUCAUCAUUUUUUUUCAUUCAUCUUCUCUGUAGGUAGAUAUAUUUUGGAAGUUAUCCGUAUUCAAUUUUAUGUUAUGAUAAAAUUCUUUUGGAAAAGUAAUAAUAUAUUUAUAUGAAUAAUCGUACAAUAGGCCCAUUCUUUAUUAUUUCGUUUGUAAAAAAAUUUAAAUUCUAAUAUUUAAUGUCAAUUUCUUAUUAUCGUAAAAGAAUUUAUUUCUUGAGAUCCUGUGUUAAAAUAAACUAAUUUCAGAUUAAACUGCUAUUUAAAACAUCUGUUUAUAAAACAAGAUUAUCGAAAUUUUUUCCAACAUAAUUAACUAGAAAUUUUCAAUUAAGAUUUUGUUAUGGUCGUUUGUGGUUUUGGGCAGUUAGUUUAAAGAUCCGAUUUUAAAAUCAUUACUCAAGUAAAAGUAGAUUUGGUUAGAUAUAUUUCGUCGUAAUAGUUAGGUAAGCCUAGAAUAUUUCAUAACGUUUAAAAAAUUGUUUUAAUAUUCCUAAAUUAUAUAUUGUCUUCACGAUUAUUAACUGUAGGUUUGGUUUAAGAAUUUAAAAAUAUACGAAUGUGUAGAUUUCUGAUUAAUUGUCGAAGGUGUAUAACGAUAUAAUUGUGUUUCUCUAUAACGGUAGACUGAAAAACUCAUGGUUGAUAAUAAGCUGUAGAUUAUAUUAUGUUUGUAUUUGAACUUAUGAUUUAUAUGUCAGGGUUAAUUGAUAUGAUUUAUAGAAUAAAUGCAAAUUAACUUUUGGUGCGUACCCACACAUAAAAAUUUAAAAAAGAAAAAAUGCUUAUUUAUCAUUUUUUUUGAUUCAUCUUCUCUGUAGGUAGAUAUAUAUUUAGAGUUAUCCGUAUUCAAUUUUAAGUUAUGAUAAAAUUCUUUUGGAAAAGUGAUAAUAUAUUCAUAUGAAUAAUCGUACAAUAGGCCCAUUCUUUAUUAUUUCUUUUGUAAUAAAUUUAAAUUGUAAUAUUUAUUGUCAAUUUCUUAUUAUCGUAAAAGAAUUCAUUUCUUGAGAUGCUGUGUUAAAANUUCAUCUUCUCUGUAGGUAGAUAUAUUUUGGAAGUUAUCCGUAUUCAAUUUUAUGUUAUGAUAAAAUUCUUUUGGAAAAGUAUUAAUAUAUUUAUAUGAAUAAUCGUACGAUAGGUUCAUUCUUUAUUAUUUCUUUUGUAAUAAAUUUAAAUUCUAAUAUUUAUUGUCAAUUUCUUUUUUUCGUAAAAGAAUUCAUUUCUUGAGAUGCUGUGUUAAAAUAAACUAAUUUUAGAAUAAAUUGCUAUUUAAAACAUAUCUGUUUAAAAAACUCGACUAUCGAGAAUGUUUGCAACAUAAUCUACUUGAAGAAUCUAAUUAUGAUUUAAUUCAGAAAUGGUGUUUUGUAGUGUUUGAAAGUUAGGUUAGAGAUCCGAUCUUAAAAUCUNCAUUUCUUGAGAUGCUGUGUUAAAAUAAACUAAUUUCAGAAUAAAUUGCUAUUUAAAACAUAUCUGUUUAAAAAACAAGACUAUCGAGAAUGUUUGCAACAUAAUCAACUUGAAGAAUCUAAUUAUGAUUUAAUUCAGAAAUGGUCGUUUGUAGUGUUUGAAAGUUA